GAAAUGCGAUACGUAGUGCGAAUUGCAGAACUCCGUGAAUCAUCAAAUCUUUGAACGCAACUUGCGCUUCCAUUUACGUGGGAGCAUGCUUGUUUCAGUGUCCGUCUCAACCUCUCCCCGCCACUCGUGGGCGCGCUGGAGGGCAUGGGUGCGUCUGGGUCACAGCUGUGUGACCCAGUCACCUGAAGUGCAGUGGCACGCUAGUGAAACUGUCCGCCAGCGUACUUCAAAACCACGCAGUUGCAAUUUCAACUGCCCUGCUCAAUACGCAGGCCUGGGUAAGAGUUCUCACACUCCACACACAGGCAGGCAGCAGCAGGCGCAGGCAGCAGCGCUGAGUGCGAAGUGCCGUGACUUUCCUGCAGAGCGUCGCGCCGAGACCCCCCCAUAAUUUUUCAUCGGACCUGAAAUAAGUAAGAGGACCCGCCGAAUUUAA
RNAcentral lists this unclassified non-coding RNA (436 nucleotides) under uncultured Chytridiomycota. RNAcentral's name for it is "sequence contains ITS1". The stretch from base 1 to 103 matches the Rfam family "5.8S ribosomal RNA", at positions 50 to 154 of the family's 154-position model. The record is from RNAcentral. Lineage: Eukaryota; Fungi; Chytridiomycota.